Molecule: long non-coding RNA, 331 nt
Filed under: Vigna radiata
Lineage: Eukaryota; Viridiplantae; Streptophyta; Magnoliopsida; Fabales; Fabaceae
Description: long non-coding RNA (VRAD_LNC015186)
Source: RNAcentral
CUGCAAGUCUGGUUUAGGUUUCUGCAACUAUAUUUUGAUUUUGGGUUAGAGAGGAGAUUUAUAUUUUUGACAUGAGGUCUUCUAUAAAUUCCUUGUUGUAAAAACCGCAACCUAUAUAGUGCAUUUGCUUCCUGGAUUGGAAGGAUAAUGGAUGUAGGCAUUGUUGGCCGAACCAGUAUAAAAAACAAUGUUUGAUUUUCUCUAUCCCUGCACUCUUUAUUUCAGUCGACUAUACCUGUUAAGCAGUUGUUGACAAAUUGGCAAGCGUACCAAAUCGUACAAGUAAUAUAAAAUCGUAAGUCCAAGUAUCGUUUUCCCAAGAGACUCGCGG